GACGAACGCUGGCGGCGUGCUUAACACAUGCAAGUCGAACGGUGAAGCGCCUUCCUUUUUGGUGGGUGUGGAUGGGUGGCGAACGGGUGAGUAACACGUGGGUAACCUGCCCCCUACUUCUGGAUAACCGCAUGAAAGUGUGGCUAAUACGGGAUAUUCUGGGUCUGUCGCAUGAUGGGUCUGGGAAAGAUAUUGUUUCGGUGGGGGAUGGGCUCGCGGCCUAUCUGCUUGUUGGUGGGGUGAUGGCCUACCAAGGCGGUGACGGGUGGCCGGCCUGGGAGGGUGGGCGGUCACACUGGUGCUGAGCCACGGCCCCGCCUCCGACGGGAGGCAGCAGGGGAUAUUAUUGCACGGUCGGCGGAAUGCUGCUGCAGCGACGCCUCUGUGGGGAUGGUGUCCUUCUUGUUGUGAACCUCUUUCGCGAGUGAAGCAGGGUUGCCUCGUUUGUUGGUGGGUUGACGGUAGCUGGAGAAUAAGCGCCGGCUAACUACGUG
RNAcentral lists this ribosomal RNA (494 nucleotides) under uncultured bacterium. RNAcentral describes it as "partial 16S ribosomal RNA". It matches the Rfam family "Bacterial small subunit ribosomal RNA", at positions 28 to 507 of the family's 1533-position model. The record is from RNAcentral.